Mus musculus (house mouse) is the source of this 1935-nucleotide long non-coding RNA. RefSeq annotates it as predicted gene, 46519. The transcript has 2 exons. NCBI's taxonomy places the organism in Eukaryota, Metazoa, Chordata, Mammalia, Rodentia, Muridae. The record is from RefSeq and is a predicted model, not a curated record.
GCUGAGGAGGUCACAGGAAACAAAGUAGAAAAGUCCCCUGGUCUGUCACUUAAGGAGUCUGCUUCGCUUCUAGCAGGACAAAGGAAGGAGAAAAGAGGAAGCUCUGCUCCUUUCUUCCAUGAUUUAUGUCUCCUUUUCAGUCAAGUCUCUCCAUUCUCUGAAAAAAAAAUAAAAGGAGAAAAACCACCCCUAUGUUGGGCAGGAGGCUCACUACUGGACAAUGCAGCCCCCAACAGAAUGAUUUUUUUCCCUUCUGUCCAACACUGAUCAAGGAAACUGUGGUGGUUUGAAUCAAACUGGCUCCCACAGGCCCAUAGAGAGUGGCACUUUUAGGAGGUGUGGCCUUGCUGGAAUAGGUGUGACUACGUUGGGGUGUGAGGUCUCAGAUGUUCACUUCCUGCUGCCUGUGGAUCAAGAUGUAGAACUCUCAGCUCCUUCACCAGCACCUCGUCUUCCUGCACUCCACCAUAUUUCUCACCGUGAUGAUGAUAGACUGAACCUCUACUGAAACUGUAAGCCAGCCUCAAUUCAAUGUUCUCCUUUAUAAGAGUUGCCUUGCUCAUGGUGUCUCUUCACAGCAGUAAAAACCCUAAAACAGAGAUUUUAAAAUAAUUUUUGCUAGGUCUUUUAAAGAGGAGUAAAGACAGCUGCUAAAAAGCUUAUGAAUAGAAAAGGUAAAAAUUUUAAAGGAAUAAAUAGAUUCCAGCUACUGGAGGUAGCUCAAAAGGUGUUUAACAACAGAGAGAACCAAUUGAGAGACAAGACCUUUUGCAUAAACUGAAAGCCACCAUCACCUUCUCUGAUGAUGAGAUGCAGUUAAACUUAUACAUAACCCACAAAAUUUUGGUGUCCUGCCCUCAGUCAGAAGAGCAAUUUCUAGCUAAUCAAAAUAUACAGUUGUACUCUCUCUCACAUUGACAACAAAGAUUUCCAGGGAUAUAGGCAGAAACCAACCCGCUAGGACUGGCCCAAUUCCAAGUUCCUAUAAUUGUUCAACUAAUAGUUCAGCCACCCGCAUCCAGACUCAACAAUACCCAAUGAUGCUGGAAACACAAAGAGAAACUGCAGUCCACACUACCUGGUUUAGAGAGCCCAGCAUCCUGGGGCCCUGUCAGUCACCCUAGAACACCCCUCUCCUGCCUGUGAAGAAACCUGGGACCUUUGCUUCUCUCGAGUCUGAUUCUUCCAGAGGAGCAGGUGUGCUCUGCCUGGCACCUGACAGCUGUGCUCUUCAGCCUCCCAUGGGCAGAGGUGAGCCAACCCACUUGUGCUUUCACAGUGCCAGGGCCAGAGGGAGGUUACAGCAGGCAACUUACCUGGACCAGGUUGCCUGAGAGAUUUAAAAAUUCUCCAAUCCUGGUUGAUGAGACACUACAUGCUGACCUCCUGCCCUUCCAUCAAAGGUGUCCUGGGACCAUACUCUUAUACUAUAUCCUCUUACCAUGCCUCCUCCUAGCCUCUAGAACUAAAAAGUCAUAAAGGGGCCACUGAGGGACCGCUGCAAGAGUUACAGACCCAGCUUUGUAGACCCAGAGGUUCCCUAUCUUGGCUACCAGCUGUGGGGAGGCAAAAGGAGCCUGUCUCGGAGGACUGCUGCCAUCCUUUGUGGCAUCCCUAGCCUGUAUAGGCCAAGCAGACCUUGAACAUUCGCCAGGCAGGCUGGACAGAUCUUGGCUAAGCAAACCUUGAAUAUUUGCCAUAACGCACAGGAUGGAUAUACAGACCUUGAAAGAUAGGCUUCAUCGGCCUGAACAGAGACACCUGCCUUGGCUGCAGCUUCGGGUUUUGAUGUACUGGAAAUAAUGAGCUGGCAAGAAAUGGAAACUUAACAGAUUAGCUGCUGUGCUGUUGCUACCUCGAAUUACUGUCCUGGGGAUGGGUUUUGUGGGGUUUCCCCUUAUAUAUGCUGUGCUGAAUAUUAAACUUUGAUCAGAA